RNAcentral lists this unclassified non-coding RNA (47 nucleotides) under synthetic construct. The record is from RNAcentral.
GGACGAUGGCGAAACUGCAUGAGGCAAUUCAUGCAAGUCCCUCGUCC